GAUGAACGCUGGCGGCGUGCUUAACACAUGCAAGUCGAACGAAGCACUUUAUUUGAUUUCCUUCGGGACUGAUUAUUUUGUGACUGAGUGGCGGACGGGUGAGUAACGCGUGGGUAACCUGCCUUGUACAGGGGGAUAACAGUUGGAAACGGCUGCUAAUACCGCAUAAGCGCACAGCAUCGCAUGAUGCAGUGUGAAAAACUCCGGUGGUAUAAGAUGGACCCGCGUUCGAUUAGCUAGUUGGUGAGGUAACGGCCCACCAAGGCGACGAUCCAUAGCCGACCUGAGAGGGUGACCGGCCACAUUGGGACUGAGACACGGCCCAAACUCCUACGGGAGGCAGCAGUGGGGAAUAUUGCACAAUGGGCGAAAGCCUGAUGCAGCGACGCCGCGUGAGCGAAGAAGUAUUUCGGUAUGUAAAGCUCUAUCAGCAGGGAAGAUAAUGACGGUACCUGACGAAGAAGCACCGGCUAAAUACGUG
This 481-nucleotide ribosomal RNA is filed under the name uncultured bacterium. RNAcentral describes it as "partial 16S ribosomal RNA". It matches the Rfam family "Bacterial small subunit ribosomal RNA", at positions 28 to 507 of the family's 1533-position model. The record is from RNAcentral.